AACGAACGCUGGCGGCAUGCCUAACACAUGCAAGUCGAACGAGACCUUCGGGUCUAGUGGCGCACGGGUGCGUAACGCGUGGGAACCUGCCCUUAGGUUCGGAAUAACUCCCCGAAAGGGGUGCUAAUACCGGAUAAUGUCUUCGGACCAAAGAUUUAUCGCCUUUGGAUGGGCCCGCGUUGGAUUAGUUAGUUGGUAGGGUAAAAGCCUACCAAGGCGACGAUCCAUAGCUGGUCUGAGAGGAUGAUCAGCCACACUGGGGCUGAGACACGGCCCAGACUCCUACGGGAGGCAGCAGUGGGGAAUAUUGGACAAUGGGCGAAAGCCUGAUCCAGCAAUGCCGCGUGAGUGAUGAAGGCCUUAGGGUUGUAAAGCUCUUUUACCCGGGAUGAUAAUGACAGUACCGGGAGAAUAAGCUCCGGCUAACUCCGUG
Molecule: ribosomal RNA, 433 nt
Filed under: uncultured bacterium
Lineage: Bacteria
Description: partial 16S ribosomal RNA
Rfam family: Bacterial small subunit ribosomal RNA
Source: RNAcentral